RNAcentral lists this ribosomal RNA (374 nucleotides) under uncultured eukaryote. RNAcentral describes it as "partial 18S ribosomal RNA". It matches the Rfam family "Eukaryotic small subunit ribosomal RNA", at positions 592 to 975 of the family's 1831-position model. The record is from RNAcentral.
CAAUAGCGUAUAUUAAUGUUGUUGCAGUUAAAAAGCUCGUAGUUGGAUUUCGGUUAAGAGCGACCGGUCCGCCGUUUGGUGUGCACUGGUUGGUUUUAACUUCCUGUAGAGGACGUGCUCUGGGUUUAACGACCUGGACUCGGAGUCUACGUGGUUACUUUGAAAAAAUUAGAGUGUUCAAAGCGGGCUUACGCUUGAAUAUUUCAGCAUGGAAUAACACUAUAGGACUCCUGUCCUAUUUCGUUGGUCUCGGGACGGGAGUAAUGAUUAAGAGGAACAGUUGGGGGCAUUCGUAUUUCAUUGUCAGAGGUGAAAUUCUUGGACCAACUCAAGUCGAACUGAAGCGAAAGCUCUUUCCACGGAUGUUCUUAUUA